Molecule: ribosomal RNA, 432 nt
Filed under: uncultured bacterium
Lineage: Bacteria
Description: partial 16S ribosomal RNA
Rfam family: Bacterial small subunit ribosomal RNA
Source: RNAcentral
AACGAACGCUGGCGGCAGGCCUAACACAUGCCAGUCGAGCGCGCCCUUCGGGGUGAGCGGCGGACGGGUGAGUAACGCGUGGGAACGUGCCCUUUUCUACGGAAUAGCCUCGGGAAACUGAGAGUAAUACCGUAUACGCCCUUUGGGGGAAAGAUUUAUCGGAAAAGGAUCGGCCCGCGUUGGAUUAGGUAGUUGGUGGGGUAAUGGCCUACCAAGCCGACGAUCCAUAGCUGGUUUGAGAGGAUGAUCAGCCACACUGGGACUGAGACACGGCCCAGACUCCCACGGGAGGCAGCAGUGGGGAAUCUUAGACAAUGGGGGCAACCCUGAUCUAGCCAGGCCGCGGGAGUGAUGAAGGCCUUAGGGUUGUAAAGCUCUUUCAGCUGGGAAGAUAAUGACGGGACCAGCAGAAGAAGCCCCGGCUAACUCCGU